GAUGAACGCUGGCGGCGUGCUUAACACAUGCCAGUCGAACGGAAAGGCUCCUGCUUGCAGGGGUACUCGAGUGGCGAACGGGUGAGUAACACGUGGGUGAUCUGCCCUGCACUUCGGGAUAAGCCUGGGAAACUGGGUCUAAUACCGGAUAGGACGAUGGUUUGGAUGCCAUUGUGGAAAGUUUUUCGGUGUGGGAUGAGCUCGCGGCCUAUCAGCUUGUUGGUGGGGUAAUGGCCUACCAAGGCGUCGACGGGUAGCCGGCCUGAGAGGGUGUACGGCCACAUUGGGACUGAGAUACGGCCCAGACUCCUACGGGAGGCAGCAGUGGGGAAUAUUGCACAAUGGGCGGAAGCCUGAUGCAGCGACGCCGCGUGGGGGAUGACGGCCUUCGGGUUGUAAACUCCUUUCGCUAGGGACGAAGCGCAAGUGACGGUACCUGGAGAAGAAGCACCGGCUAACUACGUG
Molecule: ribosomal RNA, 465 nt
Filed under: uncultured bacterium
Lineage: Bacteria
Description: partial 16S ribosomal RNA
Rfam family: Bacterial small subunit ribosomal RNA
Source: RNAcentral